Molecule: ribosomal RNA, 484 nt
Filed under: uncultured bacterium
Lineage: Bacteria
Description: partial 16S ribosomal RNA
Rfam family: Bacterial small subunit ribosomal RNA
Source: RNAcentral
AUUGAACGCUGGCGGCAGGCCUAACACAUGCAAGUCGAGCGGAUGAAGGGAGCUUGCUCCUGGACUCAGCGGCGGACGGGUGAGUAAUGCCUAGGAAUCUGCCUGGUAGUGGGGGCUAACGUCCGGAAACGGGCGCUAAUACCGCAUACGUCCUGAGGGAGAAAGUGGGGGAUCUUCGGACCUCACGCUAUCAGAUGAGCCUAGGUCGGAUUAGCUAGUUGGUGGGGUAAAGGCCUACCAAGGCGACGAUCCGUAACUGGUCUGAGAGGAUGAUCAGUCACACUGGAACUGAGACACGGUCCAGACUCCUACGGGAGGCAGCAGUGGGGAAUAUUGGACAAUGGGCGAAAGCCUGAUCCAGCCAUGCCGCGUGUGUGAAGAAGGUCUUCGGAUUGUAAAGCACUUUAAGUUGGGAGGAAGGGCAGUAAGUUAAUACCUUGCUGUUUUGACGUUACCAACAGAAUAAGCACCGGCUAACUUCGUG